GCCAAUAGCGCCUUAUUAAAUGUUUGUACAUCUCUAAAUCCCAGACCUCCAUUUUUAAAGGAUUUUGUCAUUUUUCUCCAGGAGAUCCAACACAUCUUCUUUUUGCCAUUACUUGAAUCCCACCAGAAUCUGGUUAGAGCAGAUUGAAUACGCUUGCAGAGGGAGUUGGGAAUAUGGAAGCAAGACAUAGUAUAAGUAGGCAUAGCAGCCAAGACAGAUUUGAGCAUAGUGAGUUUACCCGCAGAGGAGAGAAACCGAGAAGAUCAGCUCAUGGCUCGCUGCUUAAUCCGAUCCACUAUCUGAC
This 304-nucleotide long non-coding RNA is filed under the name Arabidopsis lyrata. RNAcentral describes it as "long non-coding RNA (ALYR_LNC000899)". The record is from RNAcentral. Lineage: Eukaryota; Viridiplantae; Streptophyta; Magnoliopsida; Brassicales; Brassicaceae.